GGAGGCAGCAGUAGGGAAUCUUCCACAAUGGACGGAAGUCUGAUGGAGCAACGCCGCGUGAGUGAAGAAGGUUUUCGGAUCGUAAAACUCUGUUGUAAGGGAAGAACACGUACGAGAGUAACUGCUCGUACCUUGACGGUACCUUAUUAGAAAGCCACGGCUAACUACGUGCCAGCAGCCGCGGUAAUACGUAGGUGGCAAGCGUUGUCCGGAAUUAUUGGGCGUAAAGUGCGCGCAGGCGGUCCUUUAAGUCUGAUGUGAAAGCCCACGGCUCAACCGAGGAGGGUCAUUGGAAACUGGGGGACUUGAGUACAGAAGAGGAAAGCGGAAUUCCACGUGUAGCGGUGAAAUGCGUAGAGAUGUGGAGGAACACCAGUGGCGAAGGCGGCUUUCUGGUCUGUAACUGAAGCUGAGGCGCGAAAGCGUGGGGAGCAAACAGGAUUAGAUACCCUGGUAGUCCACACCGCAAACGAUGAGAGCUAAGUGUUAGGGGGUUUCCGCCCCUUAGUGCUGCAGCUAACGCAUUAAGCACUCCGCCUGGGGAGUACGGCCGCAAGGUUGAAACUCAAGGACUUGACGGGGGACCGCACAAGCGGUGGAGCAUGUGGUUUAAUUCGAAAGCAAUACGAAGAACCUUACCAGGUCUUGACAUCCCUCUGAUCGGCUUAUAAGUUAAGUCUUUCCCCUUCCGGGACUAUGGUGCCCGGUGGUGCCUGUAUGACGUCAGCUCGUUACCUGUAAAGUAGAGUUUACUCCCCUCUAUCGAAUGCAUACCCUUGAUCUU
This 784-nucleotide ribosomal RNA is filed under the name uncultured Caryophanaceae bacterium. RNAcentral describes it as "bacterial SSU rRNA". It matches the Rfam family "Bacterial small subunit ribosomal RNA", at positions 344 to 1113 of the family's 1533-position model. The record is from RNAcentral. Lineage: Bacteria; Bacillati; Bacillota; Bacilli; Caryophanales; Caryophanaceae.